CAAACUUGGUCAUUUAGAGGAAGUAAAAGUCGUAACAAGGUCUCCGUUGGUGAACCAGCGGAGGGAUCAUUAAAGAGUUGCAAAACUCCCUUAAACCAUCGUGAACCAUACCUCUGAACAGUUGCUUCGGCGGGCCGGCCCUCCCCCGGGAGGCGCCGCCCAAGGCCCGCCGGAGGUACCCAAACCAUUGUCUUUACAGGCCUCUCUGAGUGGCAUACUUAAUAAGUCAAAACUUUCAACAACGGAUCUCUUGGUUCUGGCAUCGAUGAAGAACGCAGCGAAAUGCGAUAAGUAAUGUGAAUUGCAGAAUUCAGUGAAUCAUCGAAUCUUUGAACGCACAUUGCGCCCGCCAGUAUUCUGGCGGGCAUGCCUGUCCGAGCGUCAUUUCAACCAUCAAGCCCCGGGCUUGUGUUGGGGACCUGCGUCCGACGCAGGCCCCGAAAACCAGUGGCGGGCUCGCUGUCCACACCGAGCGUAGUAGCUAACCUCGCUCCGGAGUGGCGCGGGCGCCUGCCGUAAAACCCCCCAAUUUUACAAGGUUGACCUCGGAUCAGGUAGGAAUACCCGCUGAACUUAAGCAUAUCAAUAAGCGGAGG
Molecule: ribosomal RNA, 596 nt
Filed under: uncultured Podospora
Lineage: Eukaryota; Fungi; Ascomycota; Sordariomycetes; Sordariales; Lasiosphaeriaceae
Description: eukaryotic LSU rRNA
Rfam family: 5.8S ribosomal RNA (bases 231-384)
Source: RNAcentral